GUUAAAAAGCUCGUAGUUGGAUUUCUGUGAGAGUAUGAUGUCCUAACGUGUUUAGAGCGCAGAAAACUCUUGCAUCCUUCUGUUACCUCCACGUGGCAUUCGCUUGCCAGUGGUUGGCUCAGAGAAUCUACCUUGAGAAAAUUAGAGUGUUUCAGGCAGGCUUAGUCGGAAUACAUUAGCAUGGAAUAAUAGAAUAGGACUCCGGUCUCGUUGUUGGUUUGAGGGACUGUAGUAAUGAUUAAUAGGGAUAGUUGGGGGCAUUAGUAUUCGGUUGUCAGAGGUGAAAUUCUCAGACUUAUUGAAGACUAACUUAUGCGAAAGCAUUUGCCAAGGAUGUUUUCAUUAAUCAAGAACGAAAGUUAGGGGAUCAAAGACGAUCAGAUACCGUCCUAGUCUUAACCAUAAACUAUGCCGACUCGGGAUUGGGGGCGUGUUAUUAUCCGCCUUCAGCACCGUAUGAGAAAUCAAAGUCUUUGGGUUCUGG
RNAcentral lists this ribosomal RNA (484 nucleotides) under uncultured eukaryote. RNAcentral's name for it is "SSU rRNA". It matches the Rfam family "Eukaryotic small subunit ribosomal RNA", at positions 618 to 1117 of the family's 1831-position model. The record is from RNAcentral.